GCCUUCGUGGUGUAGUGGUCAGCACGCUUGACGCGUAAUCGAGAGGUCCGUGGUUCGAUUCCCGGCGAAGGCG
RNAcentral lists this transfer RNA (73 nucleotides) under Stegodyphus mimosarum. Its description in RNAcentral is "tRNA-Thr for anticodon CGU". It matches the Rfam family "tRNA". From Rfam's summary of the family: Transfer RNA (tRNA) molecules are approximately 80 nucleotides in length. Lineage: Eukaryota; Metazoa; Arthropoda; Arachnida; Araneae; Eresidae. The record is from Rfam by way of RNAcentral.